This 253-nucleotide ribosomal RNA is filed under the name uncultured bacterium. RNAcentral describes it as "partial 16S ribosomal RNA". It matches the Rfam family "Bacterial small subunit ribosomal RNA", at positions 524 to 776 of the family's 1533-position model. The record is from RNAcentral.
AACGUAGGACACAAGCGUUAUCCGGAGUUACUGGGCGUAAAGGGCGUGUAGGCGGGUCAAUAAGUCUAUUCUGAAAGCUCCUGGCUAAACUGGGAGAGGCGAAUGGAGACUGUUGGUCUAGAGUGAGGAAGAGGAAAGUGGAAUUCCGCGUGUAGUGGUGAAAUGCGCAGAUAUCGGGAAGAACACCCGUGGCGAAGGCGGCUCUCUGGGACGGUACUGACGCUGAGACGCGAAAGCGUGGGGAGCGAACAGG